CGGAGAAGUAGACAUGGCGUGAUGUUGGUUCGGCUCAUCUUUCCCGAUCUUCGGAGGUCUCCUUGAGAAUGAGAGAUGAGCCGAAUCAAUAUCACUCUUGUAUGCUUUUCU
RNAcentral lists this microRNA precursor (111 nucleotides) under Punica granatum (pomegranate). The record is from RNAcentral. Lineage: Eukaryota; Viridiplantae; Streptophyta; Magnoliopsida; Myrtales; Lythraceae.